AAAAUUGCAUUAAUUAUAUUUUUUUGAUUUAUUGACCUUAACAAGAAUAGUUAAUUCAUAUAAAUAUUAGCAUUUUAAUUUUUUAUCAGUCUUUUAAAUAAACCGAAUCUCUUUUACGUGUAAAUUGACAGAAUAAUUUUUAAGAGUGAGAAAGUUUAUAAUAAGCUACAGAACUCUCUUAUGAGCGAGAUUUAACACUAUUGCUUG
This 207-nucleotide long non-coding RNA is filed under the name Lathyrus oleraceus (garden pea). Its description in RNAcentral is "Pisum sativum (pea) long non-coding RNA (PSAT_LNC040280)". Lineage: Eukaryota; Viridiplantae; Streptophyta; Magnoliopsida; Fabales; Fabaceae. The record is from RNAcentral.